Small nucleolar RNA from Planococcus citri (citrus mealybug), 142 nucleotides. The record is from RefSeq and is a predicted model, not a curated record. NCBI's taxonomy places the organism in Eukaryota, Metazoa, Arthropoda, Insecta, Hemiptera, Pseudococcidae.
CGAAAGGCUAUGCGAAGGCACAUUGAUCUUGUAUACCUAUAGAUAUUUGUGUUCAAAACAUAGCCGAAAAUAACGUUCUCCUUUGACGGUCGUUGUCGAGCGAUUGAAUGCUCUUUCAGCAACAUAUUGUGAGAAGACAUCA